RNAcentral lists this ribosomal RNA (243 nucleotides) under uncultured bacterium. RNAcentral describes it as "partial 16S ribosomal RNA". It matches the Rfam family "Bacterial small subunit ribosomal RNA", at positions 529 to 771 of the family's 1533-position model. The record is from RNAcentral.
AGGGAGCGAGCGUUGUCCGGAUUUACUGGGUGUAAAGGGUGCGUAGGCGGCUUCGCAAGUCAGUAGUGAAAUCCAUGGGCUUAACCCAUGAACUGCUAUUGAAACUGUGGAGCUUGAGUGAAGGAGAGGUAGGCGGAAUUCCCGGUGUAGCGGUGAAAUGCGUAGAGAUCGGGAGGAACACCAGUGGCGAAGGCGGCCUACUGGGCUUUAACUGACGCUGAGGCACGAAAGCGUGGGGAGCAA